Molecule: ribosomal RNA, 253 nt
Filed under: uncultured bacterium
Lineage: Bacteria
Description: partial 16S ribosomal RNA
Rfam family: Bacterial small subunit ribosomal RNA
Source: RNAcentral
UACAGAGGGUGCAAGCGUUAUUCGGAAUUAUUGGGCAUAAAGCGCAUGUAGGUGGUUUAGUAAGUCUGAUGUGAAAGCCCCGGACUCAAUCCGGGAAGUGCAUUGGAUACUACUAGACUAGAGUAUGGGAGAGGUGAGCGGAAUUCCAGGUGUAGAGGUGAAAUUCGUAGAUAUCUGGAGGAACAACAGAGGCGAAGGCGGCUCACUGGACCAUUACUGACACUGAGAUGCGAAAGCGUGGGGAGCAAACAGG